This 1323-nucleotide long non-coding RNA is filed under the name Pogona vitticeps (central bearded dragon). RNAcentral describes it as "lncRNA (ENSPVIG00000016682.1)". Lineage: Eukaryota; Metazoa; Chordata; Lepidosauria; Squamata; Agamidae. The record is from RNAcentral.
UCUCUGACAUUCUCAUUGGUUCUGUGCUGGGUCCACCUCUUUUGUAUUUCUGGGGUUCAAUCCCAGGUAGCCGGCUCAAGGUUGACUCAGCCUUCUAUCCUUCCGAGGUCGGUAAAAUGAGUACCCAGCUUGCUGGGGGGGGGGCAAUGGGUAGCUGAGGAAAGGAAGGAUGAAGAAAAAAGCAUCUCUGACAUUCUCAUUGGUUCUGUGCUCGGUCCACCCCUUUUGUGUUUCGUUCAGCCUGGGUUCCAGCCCUUUAGCUGCAAAUGCCAAAGGAAAGAUUUCUACAGUGGGAGAAGCAAAUUUUUGUAAGCUCUAAAUUUUGGUGCCCAGUCAGUCUUCCCUAGUCCUGGCUCUCGUCACUGUUGGGAAGGAACUGCCUUAUACAGGACAAUGAUUGGCUUAAUGUCCCUAGAAGAUGACCAUUGGGCUAAGAUGGCCUAGCCAUCUUCUCUCAGGUACUGGCGGGGUGACAUUUCUGGAGCUGCACGCCUGCAUUGCGAGAUGCCGUAGCCGAAAGUUGGUGGAACCCGAACCCAACGUGUGCGAGGCCACUUUUUUCCCCUCCCUCUUUCUACUACUGCUCUUUUCGCUUUCUGAUACUUCUCCCUUUCUCACAAAUUUUCGUCCUCCUUGUGCACUGGGCUGUCAGGAGAGAGCCUUAAGUACCAGGUUCUUUCAAGUCUGAAGCCUUAUCAAGCCUUGAAUGCAACAAUUAUUGAAGUGGUGGCCCUCAACUCACAACAUGGGAGACAUCCCCAGAGAACUGGGGUGGCAGAAUGGACUUUUGUGGAUCCAUGGCUUGCUUAAUAGCCGACUCCGCCCUUCCUCAACCCAAAGGAUUUGGGAAAAGCAAGCAAGCUGGCUCCCGAAGACGAAAGCCGUCAAAUGUGUUGUUCGUACAGAACCUGUUGAAAGCUUUGUGAAGACCUCAGAGAAGAUAACCGAAGUGUUAUUGCAGAAGUUUAAAACAGGAGCUGAUAUUUUUGAAAUCUUUUCUUUUUCUUCAACGACAACAACAGUAAGAUGGGUGAUUAUGGUGAUCAGUGUCUUCACCCACAACAAAAACCUUUUAGAUUUUGCCACCCAGAAUUCUUCAGUCAACGCAGCCAGCAUCCAUGACGGAUGGGAGGCUUUGGACGUAAUUCAAAGUUAUGCCAAGGGUUAACCCCAUGUACUUACGGAAACUUUGCACCCAUUCCUAGUCUGAUACUCUAACCAUUAUUUCAAUCUUCUUAAAACUAGAGAAAAGUAACAAAAGCAUCACAUGAAAAACAAAAGCCACGGAUGUUGAAAAGAAGGACGCUACUGAAGUGUUGUUCC